This 1164-nucleotide long non-coding RNA is filed under the name Bos indicus x Bos taurus (hybrid cattle). RNAcentral's name for it is "lncRNA (ENSBIXG00000003894.1)". The record is from RNAcentral. Lineage: Eukaryota; Metazoa; Chordata; Mammalia; Artiodactyla; Bovidae.
AGCGGGGCUCGGAUGGGAGCGGCCCGCGCCAGAUCCGAGGGCGAUUGCCUCUCCAGCCUGCGGAGGGUACGGCCGCGAGUGCCUCCAAAUCACUAGGGGACUCUGAACGUGUUGCUCCCGUCAACUCGCUCAACAUGAUUCAUUUAUUCACUUAGAUAAACCACCACCGCCACACCAACCUGCCACUUGAUGCGCACUUAAAAGGACAGGGGAGCGCGGGCCAGGCAGACCCUCCGCCGGACACGACUCGGGGAGAAACGUGUUUUAAAAUCCAAGCUCUUGAGCUUCUAACCAGGGAGCGCGCGCGAGUGUGUGAAGAGGCUGAGAACCUCGGUUUUCAGAGACUCUAGAAUAAACUUCUCGCCCCCCUCUCCUCCCGAGGACAGUCGGGACUGUGGGUGAUCGAGUCUCAUUGGGUCGGGUCGGCCUUCUAAGUUGGCGGGGCCCUGCGGGACCGGUCUGCUUGACCCGACCGCGCUCGCAUUGGAGAGCCGAGGCUCGAUCGGUCUGCCGGGCUGCAUAACCCCCGCCCCGCAGCAGCGGCGUCCCUCGCGCGCCGCCGCGUUUCCCGCGCUCUCGGCCCGUACUUCCCGGCGCGGCCUACAAGGCCCCGCGCGGCCCCGCCUCCGGGUCCCGCUCGGUCUCCGGCUGCGAGAGGGAAGGCGGAGGUUAUCCGCCGAGGGACAAGCGGCGCGGACCGAGGUUCCUGAGCAGAAGGGAAAAUGAGCUUAAACAUGAGGCUUGGAGGAGAAAGAAGGGCUGGGGAGAAAUAUGGUUAUUCAGUCAGUCAGUUCAGUCACUCAGUCGUGUCCAACUCUUUGUGACCCCAUGGACUGCCGCACACCAGGCUUUCCUGUCCAUCACCAACUCUUGGAGCUUGCUCAAACUCAUGUCCAUCGAGUUGCUGAUGCUAUCACUUUAUUGGUUAUUACAAGAUAUUGAAUACAGUUCCCUGUGCCAUGCAGUAAAUCCUUAUUUUUUAAUCUAUUUUAUAUAUAGUUGUGUAUAUCUGCUAAUCCCAAAUUCCUAAUUUAUCCCUCCCCCUUUCUCCCCUUUGGUAAACCAUAAACUUGUUUUCUGUAUCUGUGAGUCUAUUUCUGUUUUGUAUGCAAGUUCAUUUGUAUCAUAUUUUUAGAUUCCACAUGUAAGUGAUAUAAUGUUUGU